AGAGAAGGUAAAGGAAGAAGUUUAAACUUUACUUGGGGGGGAGGUGAAGGAAAAAUCAUCCUUAUUAUGAGCAGGAGCAACAGCCCGAGGCAAAGCCAGACACGAAGAGGCAGGCACCCAAGAAGACAAUUCAGCGUGACCAAACCAUGAUGUGUUGUAUCCGGCCGAUUACCCCACUCUUCCAAGCCGUCCCGGUCUCUGCUCCAGCCCCUCUGCCGAUCCGGGGAUGCUGCAGGCUACCACAC
Molecule: long non-coding RNA, 245 nt
Organism: Lampris incognitus (smalleye Pacific opah)
Lineage: Eukaryota; Metazoa; Chordata; Actinopteri; Lampriformes; Lampridae
Exons: 3
Source: RefSeq, a predicted model, not a curated record